Molecule: long non-coding RNA, 806 nt
Filed under: Triticum aestivum (bread wheat)
Lineage: Eukaryota; Viridiplantae; Streptophyta; Magnoliopsida; Poales; Poaceae
Description: long non-coding RNA (TAES_LNC025785)
Source: RNAcentral
GACAUAGACACCUAGGAGUUUGAAUUUGAUAGUUCCAAUAGAAACACUUGCUACAGAUAAAUAACUUUUAGUAAGGAAACGUCUGAAUGAACAUGCUCUUGUCGGCAAGUUAUUAUCGAUCUUACAGCGGCUUCCCUCCUUCCACUUGUCCCAGAUCACCUUUUAAGUUUUGUCUUGCCUAUACAAAAAUAUUUGAGAACCCUUGCAUAAGAAACAAAUGAAAUCAAGAGAACAAAUAUACAACUGGAAGACAACAUCUUCUUAUCAGAAAGAAUUUACAAGAAACAAAUGAAAACAUGAUAGUUCGAAUCAGAAAUAAAACCGGCUAUAACUAAAAAAACUAAUGUGGCAUGAACAAACAAAGCAAAGGACAAUGCAAAUGCCUAAUACUGUCAAGGUAUACAGCGGAACAUGUAGUACAAAGCAUCAGUUUGACAUAGUACUACCCUGACACGGAAAAUCAUAGUGCUUUUCUCAGAAUAUAGUGAAGGAUUAAACGAUUACUGUGUUGAUUUGAUCUGUCUUGCCUUAUCAAAAACAGAGGGCAAAGCAAAUACACAUGCCAGACAAGGAACAGAUGGUUGCCAUUCCUUAAAACAGAAAAUCUCAACCUUUAGAAAUGACAGCCUGCCUUUCCUCCUGUCAUCAUCAUGUCAAUUAAUUCACAGUAAAGAAAGUUAUGCACAUGCAUAUCAUGGAAAUCUUGUGAUGGUGCAACAAUUAUGUAUGUAUAUUAGGGACAUGGUAGAUUACUCUUUGUAAGCAAUGAUAGCAGGCAAAAAAUGCGCUCUUCUAAUUUUGAAGCG